This 591-nucleotide ribosomal RNA is filed under the name uncultured bacterium. RNAcentral describes it as "bacterial SSU rRNA". It matches the Rfam family "Bacterial small subunit ribosomal RNA", at positions 338 to 941 of the family's 1533-position model. The record is from RNAcentral.
CCUACGGGAGGCAGCAGUGGGGAAUUUUCCGCAAUGGGCGAAAGCCUGACGGAGCAAUACCGCGUGAGGGAGGAAGGCUCUUGGGUUGUAAACCUCUUUUGUCAGGGAAGAAGAUCUGACGGUACCUGACGAAUCAGCAUCGGCUAACUCCGUGCCAGCAGCCGCGGUAAUACGGGGGAUGCAAGCGUUAUCCGGAAUUAUUGGGCGUAAAGCGUCCGCAGGUGGUUGUUCAAGUCUGCUGUUAAAGCAUGGGGCUUAAUUCCAUAUAGGCAGUGGAAACUGGACGACUAGAGUACGGUAGGGGUCGCGGGAAUUCCCAGUGUAGCGGUGAAAUGCGUAGAUAUUGGGAAGAACACCAUGGCGAAAGCGCGCGGCUGGACCUGUACUGACACUGAGGGACGAAAGCUAGGGGAGCGAAAGGGAUUAGAUACCCCUGUAGUCCUAGCUGUAAACGAUGGAUACUAGGUGUUGCCCGUAUCGACCCGGGCAGUGCCGUAGCUAACGCGUUAAGUAUCCCGCCUGGGGAGUACGCACGCAAGUGUGAAACUUAAAGAUAGUAGACGNUAGACUGCGACGAGCACAGGGAGUAGG